Molecule: ribosomal RNA, 396 nt
Filed under: uncultured bacterium
Lineage: Bacteria
Description: bacterial SSU rRNA
Rfam family: Bacterial small subunit ribosomal RNA
Source: RNAcentral
GACGAACGCUGGCGGCGUGCUUAACACAUGCAAGUCGAGCGGUAAGGCCCUUCGGGUACGGACGAGCGGCGAACGGGUAGGAGUAACAACGUGGGUGGACCUCGCCUCCACGCUCUGGGAUAAGCCUGGGAAACCGGGUCUAAUACCGGAUAUGACUCCAUGACGCAUGUUGUGGGGUGGAAAGCCUUGUGCGGCUGAGGAUGGGCCCGCGGCCUAUCAGCUUGUUGGUGGGGUGANGGCCUACCAAGGCGACGACGGGUAGCCGGCCUGAGAGGGCGACCGGCCACACUGGGACUGAGACACGGCCCAGACUCCUACGGGAGGCAGCAGUGGGGAAUCUUGCGCAAUGGGCGAAAGCCUGACGCAGCGACGCCGCGUGAGGGAUGACGGCCUGGU